AUUGAACGCUGGCGGCAUGCCUUACACAUGCAAGUCGAACGGCAGCACGGGAGCAAUCCUGGUGGCGAGUGGCGAACGGGUGAGUAAAGUAUCGGAACGUGCCCAGUCGUGGGGGAUAACGUAGCGAAAGUUACGCUAAUACCGCAUACGAUCUAUGGAUGAACGCGGGGGAUCGCAAGACCUCGCGCGAUUGGCGCGGCCGAUAUCAGAUUAGGUAGUUGGUGGGGUAAAGGCUCACCAAGCCGACGAUCUGUAGCUGGUCUGAGAGGACGACCAGCCACACUGGGACUGAGACACGGCCCAGACUCCUACGGGAGGCAGCAGUGGGGAAUUUUGGACAAUGGGCGAAAGCCUGAUCCAGCCAUGCCGCGUGCAGGAUGAAGGCCUUCGGGUUGUAAACUGCUUUUGUACGGAACGAAAAGGUUUGGCCUAAUAAGCUGAGCUCAUGACGGUACCGUAAGAAUAAGCACCGGCUAACUAUGUGCCAGCAGCCGCCGUAA
This 500-nucleotide ribosomal RNA is filed under the name uncultured bacterium. RNAcentral describes it as "partial 16S ribosomal RNA". It matches the Rfam family "Bacterial small subunit ribosomal RNA", at positions 30 to 523 of the family's 1533-position model. The record is from RNAcentral.